UACCAGCACCCCGAGUGGUCGGGACGAUUAUUGGGCCUAAAGCAUCCGUAGCCGGUUCUACAAGUCUUCCGUUAAAUCCACCUGCUCAACAAUUGGGCUGCGGAGGAUACUAUAGAGCUAGGAGGCGGGAGAGGCAAGCGGUACUUAGUGGGUAGGGGUAAAAUCCGUUGAUCCAUUGAAGACCACCAGUGGCGAAGGCGGCUUGCCAGAACGCACUCGACGGUGAGGGAUGAAAGCUGGGGGAGCAAACCGG
This 253-nucleotide ribosomal RNA is filed under the name uncultured bacterium. Its description in RNAcentral is "partial 16S ribosomal RNA". It matches the Rfam family "Archaeal small subunit ribosomal RNA", at positions 474 to 727 of the family's 1478-position model. The record is from RNAcentral.